UACGGAAGGGGCAAGCGUUGUUCGGAAUCACUGGGCGUAAAGGGCGCGUAGGCGGCGCGAGCAGUCGAUCGUGAAAGUCCGGAGCUCAACUCCGGAUCGGCGGUCGAUACUCUCGUGCUUGAGCACUGUAGAGGCAGAUGGAAUUCCGGGUGUAGCGGUGGAAUGCGUAGAGAUCCGGAAGAACACCGGUGGCGAAGGCGGUCUGCUGGGCAGUUGCUGACGCUGAUGCGCGACAGCGUGGGGAGCAAACAGG
This 253-nucleotide ribosomal RNA is filed under the name uncultured bacterium. RNAcentral describes it as "partial 16S ribosomal RNA". It matches the Rfam family "Bacterial small subunit ribosomal RNA", at positions 524 to 776 of the family's 1533-position model. The record is from RNAcentral.